UAGGGAAUCUUCCGCAAUGGACGAAAGUCUGACGGAGCAACGCCGCGUGAGUGAAGAAGGAUUUCGGUUCGUAAAACUCUGUUGUUAGGGAAGAAAAAAUGUAUAGUAACUAUAUACAAAAGAGACGGUACCUAACCAGAAAGCCACGGCUAACUACGUGCCAGCAGCCGCGGUAAUACGUAGGUGGCAAGCGUUGUCCGGAUUUACUGGGCGUAAAGGGUGCGUAGGUGGUCUUUCAAGUCGGUGGUUAAAGGCUACGGCUCAACCGUAGUUAGCCUCCGAAACUGGAAGACUUGAGUGCAGGAGAGGAAAGUGGAAUUCCCAGUGUAGCGGUGAAAUGCGUAGAUAUUGGGAGGAACACCAGUAGCGAAGGCGGCUUUCUGGACUGCAACUGACACUGAGGCACGAAAGCGUGGGUAGCAAACAGG
RNAcentral lists this ribosomal RNA (428 nucleotides) under Verrucomicrobiota bacterium. Its description in RNAcentral is "Verrucomicrobia bacterium partial 16S ribosomal RNA". It matches the Rfam family "Bacterial small subunit ribosomal RNA", at positions 355 to 776 of the family's 1533-position model. Lineage: Bacteria; Pseudomonadati; Verrucomicrobiota. The record is from RNAcentral.